GAGGGUACAGCUCAGUGGCAGAGCACAUGCCCAGCAUGCAUGAGGUCCUGGGUUCAAUCCCCAGUACUUCCA
Camelus ferus (Wild Bactrian camel) is the source of this 72-nucleotide transfer RNA. It matches the Rfam family "tRNA". Rfam says of the family: Transfer RNA (tRNA) molecules are approximately 80 nucleotides in length. Lineage: Eukaryota; Metazoa; Chordata; Mammalia; Artiodactyla; Camelidae. The record is from Rfam.